ACGGGAGUAUUCUACUUCAGAUAUCUGAUUUCGAACCAGAAGACCUUACAUGCUUAAGCUCCCGA
This 65-nucleotide transfer RNA is filed under the name Boa imperator. RNAcentral describes it as "transfer RNA-Arg". The record is from RNAcentral. Lineage: Eukaryota; Metazoa; Chordata; Lepidosauria; Squamata; Boidae.